GUUCGGAUAUUACCCGUUCGGGUUCGGAUAUCCAAUCUCUCCGAAUUCAAUACCCGUUCUGAUAUUUUGCUACUUCGGUUCGGAUUUCGGUUCGGGUUUUUCGGAUCGGGUUCGGGUGCCACUUCGGAUUUCGGGUAAAAUGCCCACCCCUAACUACAUCAGCAUAUCACAGAUAAAGAUUACCGUUUAUUUGACACCGUUGUCGGUCGUAGGCACUUAAAAGCCUUUUAUUUCUAAUUUAGGUAUUAAAUUCAAAUUUCCUAUUAGUUUACGAAUCAGAUUGCACAUGCAAAUAGUUUAUGUAUCGAUUAGACGAUAUGACCUUAGUUCAAGCACUGAUCUGCCGUUUUCCCCCUUCUUGGUAAGUAAUCUCUUUAAACAAAUCUUUAAUGUCACCCAUUUAGUUGGUGUCAAACUUUAAUAAUAAAAUAUUUAUGUGUGUUUACUAAUCAUCAGUGUUGUUUAUUAUCACCUAAAUUUGGCAAGAAUCUCAAAAUAAAAAAAACUUUAAAACAGUUUGAUGUAUAAGGUAAUUAGGUAAUUUCCAGUUAGGUGCACAAGAAAGAUAAAUCACAACCUUACUAUAUAUGUAAUCACAACCAUUUAAUAAUAGAAAACCAUUGUACAUAAUCGCGCGUAUAUAGUUUUCUUAUAAGUAAC
Long non-coding RNA from Brassica rapa (field mustard), 660 nucleotides. RefSeq lists it as uncharacterized. The record is from RefSeq and is a predicted model, not a curated record. NCBI's taxonomy places the organism in Eukaryota, Viridiplantae, Streptophyta, Magnoliopsida, Brassicales, Brassicaceae.